UACGUAGGCAGCGAGCGUUGUUCGGAGUUACUGGGCGUAAAGCGUGCGUAGGCGGUUUUGUAAGUUUGGUGUGAAAUCUCCCGGCUCAACUGGGAGGGUGCGCCGAAAACUGCAAGGCUGGAGUGUGGGAGAGGUAGGCGGAAUUCCUGGUGUAGCGGUGAAAUGCGUAGAUAUCAGGAGGAACACCUGUGGUGUAGACGGCUUACUGGACCAUGACUGACGCUGAGGCACGAAAGCGUGGGGAGCAAACAGGAUUAGAAACCCCCGUAGUCC
Molecule: ribosomal RNA, 273 nt
Filed under: uncultured bacterium
Lineage: Bacteria
Description: partial 16S ribosomal RNA
Rfam family: Bacterial small subunit ribosomal RNA
Source: RNAcentral